GAUCAUUACAGCGAAGCGGCGCGAGCCGCCUUUCGAACCACCGCGUACCGAACCCCCCACGUUGCCUCGGCGGGCGCCGGGCGCCCCGCGCCCGCCCCGCCGAACGGCCCCCCAGCAAGACCCCUUCCGUCGAGAUGGCGUCGUCUGAACCCUCCGGGGAAAACGUUUGAAACGAAAAACACAACUUUCAACAAUGGAUCUCUUGGCUCCGGCAUCGAUGAAGAACGCAGCGAAACGCGAUAGCUAGUGUGAAUUGCAGAUUUCAGUGAAUCAUCGAGUCUUUGAACGCACAUUGCGCCUCUUGGUAUUCCUCGAGGCAUGCCUGUUCGAGCGUCGUUACGCCCCUCAAGCGCGAGCUUGGUGUUGGGGACCGCCCCUGAGACACGGCGGCGGCCCCGGAAUGCAUCGGCGGUGCUGGUCCCAGCCCGGAGCGCAGCAGACAUGCGGCUCCGCGGGCGGGGCCGGCGCCCGCCGGACAAACGACGAGACCCCUCCACAAGUCGACCUCGAAUCAG
Molecule: unclassified non-coding RNA, 515 nt
Filed under: leaf metagenome
Description: partial contains internal transcribed spacer 1, 5.8S ribosomal RNA, and internal transcribed spacer 2
Rfam family: 5.8S ribosomal RNA (bases 183-336)
Source: RNAcentral